CUGUACAACCCGUUACCUUUUU
RNAcentral lists this microRNA (22 nucleotides) under Branchiostoma floridae (Florida lancelet). Its description in RNAcentral is "Bfl-Let-7-P3_3p* (star (passenger))". Lineage: Eukaryota; Metazoa; Chordata; Leptocardii; Amphioxiformes; Branchiostomatidae. The record is from RNAcentral. RNAcentral also lists the same sequence under 1 other name.